Molecule: long non-coding RNA, 215 nt
Filed under: Nicotiana benthamiana
Lineage: Eukaryota; Viridiplantae; Streptophyta; Magnoliopsida; Solanales; Solanaceae
Description: long non-coding RNA (NBEN_LNC029224)
Source: RNAcentral
CUUCCUCCCAUUGAAUCAAGAGAAACUCCAUUGUUGUCUUGCAAAUUCUUGUGGAAAACCAUACACCAACUUUGGUUAUUGUCAUAUUAUUAUUGUUGUAAAACCAUUCACAUAUUCAAGUCUUGUAAGGAAUUCUUGUGGAGACAUAAACUUCAAGACAAUCUUGAAGGAAGGAUCAAGGAGUAAUCUUCAUAAGGACCUUUGGACAAUCAUCA